UACGGAGGAUCCAAGCGUUAUCCGGAUUUAUUGGGCGUAAAGAGCGUGUAGGCGGCCAGGUAGGUCCGUUGUGAAAACUGGAGGCUUAACCUCCAGCUGUCGAUGGAAACCAUCUGGCUAGAGUCCGGAAGAGGAGAGUGGAAUUCCUGGUGUAGCGGUGAAAUGCGCAGAUAUCAGGAAGAACACCCGUGGCGAAGGCGGCUCUCUGGGACGGUACUGACGCUGAGGCACGAAAGCUAGGGGAGCGAACGGG
Molecule: ribosomal RNA, 253 nt
Filed under: uncultured bacterium
Lineage: Bacteria
Description: partial 16S ribosomal RNA
Rfam family: Bacterial small subunit ribosomal RNA
Source: RNAcentral